RNAcentral lists this microRNA precursor (78 nucleotides) under Medicago truncatula (barrel medic). RNAcentral describes it as "MIR5272 microRNA precursor family". It matches the Rfam family "MIR5272 microRNA precursor family". The record is from Rfam by way of RNAcentral. Lineage: Eukaryota; Viridiplantae; Streptophyta; Magnoliopsida; Fabales; Fabaceae.
UUGAAUGUGAAUUGAUUUAUGUUUGGAUAGAUACACUUAUUUAAAAGUGAUUCUUAUGAGUUGAUGUUGUUUGGAUAA